CGCUGGCGGCGUGCCUAACACAUGCAAGUCGAACGAAUCAUCUUUGUAGCAAUAUAGAAGAUGGUGAGUGGCGCACGGGUGAGUAAUACAUAGAUGAUCUGCCUUUCAGACUGGGACAACUCAGGGAAACUUGAGCUAAUACCAGAUAAGACCACAUGAAGGGAUUCACGUGACCAAAGGGUGAGCAAUCUCCUGCUGGAAGAUGAGUCUAUGUCCUAUCAGUUAGUUGGUGGGGUAAAGGCCUACCAAGACGAAGACGGGUAGCCGGCCUGAGAGGGUGAACGGCCACACUGGAACUGAGACACGGUCCAGACUCCUACGGGAGGCAGCAGUGAGGAAUUUUCCGCAAUGGGCGAAAGCCUGACGGAGCGACGCCCGCGUGAGGGAUGAAGGUUUUCGGAUCGUAAACCUCUUUUAUCAAGGAAAAAGGCUUUAAUGCGAAUAACAUUAAAGUUUGAUUGUACUUAAUGAAUAAGCCCCGGCUAACUACGUGCCAGCCGCAGC
This 504-nucleotide ribosomal RNA is filed under the name uncultured bacterium. RNAcentral describes it as "bacterial SSU rRNA". It matches the Rfam family "Bacterial small subunit ribosomal RNA", at positions 34 to 518 of the family's 1533-position model. The record is from RNAcentral.